This 254-nucleotide ribosomal RNA is filed under the name uncultured bacterium. RNAcentral's name for it is "partial 16S ribosomal RNA". It matches the Rfam family "Bacterial small subunit ribosomal RNA", at positions 524 to 776 of the family's 1533-position model. The record is from RNAcentral.
UACGGGGGAUGCAAGCGUUAUCCGGAUUUAUUGGGUUUAAAGGGUGCGUAGGCUGUGAGGUAAGUCAGCGGUGAAAUGCCCCCGCUCAACGGGGUGAAGUGCCAUUGAUACUGCCUUGCUGGAAUGCGGAUGCCGUGGGAGGAAUGUGUGGUGUAGCGGUGAACUGCAUAGAUAUCACACAGAACACCGAUUGCGAAGGCAUCUCACGAAUCCGCGAUUGACGCUGAUGCACGAAGGCGUGGGUAUCAAACAGG